Long non-coding RNA from Octopus sinensis (East Asian common octopus), 129 nucleotides. RefSeq lists it as uncharacterized. The transcript has 3 exons. Lineage: Eukaryota; Metazoa; Mollusca; Cephalopoda; Octopoda; Octopodidae. The record is from RefSeq and is a predicted model, not a curated record.
UUUUGAAACCAUCAAGGUGCUUGAGAAAAUGGUAGUCGGUAGGAGAAAGGUCUGGGGAAUAAGCUGGGUGGGGAAGAACUUUGUAGCCAAGUUCCUCCAACUUCUGGAGCAUCAUUAGGGAAAAAUGUG